Molecule: long non-coding RNA, 1115 nt
Organism: Lycium ferocissimum
Lineage: Eukaryota; Viridiplantae; Streptophyta; Magnoliopsida; Solanales; Solanaceae
Exons: 2
Source: RefSeq, a predicted model, not a curated record
GGUUAGUCUUUUUUAUUUUUUUGGUUUUUGGUUUUCAAUCUCGUUUUAUCAUUAUUAGUUGCAUUACUUUGUAUAGUUGUAGUUUAAUUAGUAGAUUUGUUAACUUUAUUGAUUGUUCAAUGUUUGUUUUAGGGUUUAGAAUGUUAACUUUAUUUUUGGGUUUUGAAUUGAAAUUGAAUGUUGUUGUUGUAGUAUUCAAAUUGAAAUUCCAAUUAAUCUUGUUCAUCAAAGCAUCUGAACUGUAAGAAAUCUUGUUCUUAACUCAAAUGAUUUCUCUGUUUGAAAAGCUAGUGUAUUUUUUUCUUUUAAAGGCUGAUGAUUUGAAAUACAAUCCAUGUUCUCCUAAUCAUUUGCUAGCUCCAAAAUCUGACCUUGUUGGUUAUCGAAUCCAUGAGUCUAAACAAGUCUCCCAAAACAGCGCCUUUAACCUGAACUGAGUUUGACCAAAAAAUGACCUCCUGCAGUAUUCUGUUUAAGGUGAGGAUUUAAGGACUAGUAAUGGCUAUAAUUCCUCAUUUAAGCCUUUGGUUGUUUUAUCUUCCAGUUAUUAGCAGUGUUGUCAAAGGCGCGCUUAAGCCGUGAAGCGAGGCUCAAAACAUGUUGAGCACUUCGCCUCGCUUAAUGUGCGCUUCAGUGUCGUCAUCAAGGCUCCAAGACAUACUAUUCCUUGCCAUUGAGCCUCUCUUGAAGAUGUGAUACUAGAUGAUGGUGUGUGAUAAUUGGGGUAACGUAGACGACCUUCCCAUGGUAGACGACGUAGGAUACAGGCCAACGUAGAUCAUGGUUUUGUGGAUGAGGAUAGUGAGGAGGAUUCGGAUCAUGUCUCUAACACCCAACGUUGACUUUUUUGAUUCGUAUACUUUUGGAUUCUAAUUUUGCUAUGUUUCUUGGAUAUGCAUAUGAUAUUUAAGUGUUUGAAUGUAGUUUUAAUUCGAAUUAGAAGUACUUUGAAGGUGAAUUUGAUUGUAGAAUGUGGUUUAUGGUUGUUUAAGUUUAUGAUGUUUAAGUGUUUCAAUGUAGUUGUAAUUUGAAUUAGAAGUACUUUAAAUUGGAAUUUGAGGUUGAAUUUGAUUGUAGAAUGUUGUAGUUUAUGAUUGUAGAAGUACUUUGAUGAA